AUGUCCACUUUGGCAACAAAUGUGCUAAAAUUAGAAUAAUACAAAGAUUAGCAUGGCUCCUGGGCAAGGAUGAAAUGUAAAUUCAUAAAGUAUUCUGUACUUUU
Molecule: small nuclear RNA, 104 nt
Organism: Hyaena hyaena (striped hyena)
Lineage: Eukaryota; Metazoa; Chordata; Mammalia; Carnivora; Hyaenidae
Source: RefSeq, a predicted model, not a curated record